CAGCAGUGAGGAAGGUGGGUAUGUUAAUAGCAUAUUCAUUUGACGUUAGCUGCAGAAGAAGCACCCGGCUAACUCCGUGCCAGCAGCCGCGGUAAUACGGAGGGUGCGAGCGUUAAUCGGAAGUUACUGGGCGUAAAAGCGCAUGCAGGUGGUUUGUUAAAGUCAGAUGUGAAAGCCCCGGGGCUCAACCUCGGAAUUGCAUUUGAAACUGGCAAACUAGAGUACUGUAGAGGGGGGUAGAAUUUCAGGUGUAGCGGUGAAAAUGCGUAGAGAUCUGAAGGAAUAACCCGGUGGCGAAGGCGGCCCCCCUGGACAGAUACUGACACUCAGAUGCGAAAGCGUGGGGAGCAAACAGGAUUAGAUACCCCUGGUAG
RNAcentral lists this ribosomal RNA (374 nucleotides) under uncultured bacterium. Its description in RNAcentral is "bacterial SSU rRNA". It matches the Rfam family "Bacterial small subunit ribosomal RNA", at positions 434 to 793 of the family's 1533-position model. The record is from RNAcentral.